Long non-coding RNA from Lingula anatina, 546 nucleotides. Lineage: Eukaryota; Metazoa; Brachiopoda; Lingulata; Lingulida; Lingulidae. The record is from RefSeq and is a predicted model, not a curated record.
AAUUUCAAAAAACAAAUCGUUCUGUCUUUCAGAGUGCCUAUGUGGUCGAAUUAACCGGACCCCACGCUUAAUGUUAGGGCAAAACCGGCACACCAGGUCAUAAAGUCAAGAAGAAGCAGGCAUCAAAGUCAGCUCAAGGGCAUUGACUCCAGUAUUAGAGUUGAUAACCAAGUUCCCGCUUCAAACAGGAUAUAAAGAUUACUGAAAAGAACGACUUCUUAAGACAACAUCAACUGACGCGAUAAAAAUGCAACGGAAUCACCAUGAAGAGAUCGGUGCUUAUCCUGCUGCUUUUGUGCAUCAUUUCGACGGAAACUCACUGGGAAGUUGUGUAUGGCAAAAGUGCAGGUUAAUGUCGAAAUCAUUAGAAAUAGUGAUGCAGUGGCCAUUCCACUAUCAAAAAAGGCACCCAAGAGGAAAACGAUUAAAGUCAAAGUAAAGGGGUCGUCACCAAGCACCGGAAGCGCACCAAGAAGCGAAAGUACACCAAGCACCGAUAGUCCACCAUGGAUUGGCCUAAAAGAUAAUGGAACAACACACAUGUUU